Molecule: long non-coding RNA, 469 nt
Filed under: Arachis ipaensis
Lineage: Eukaryota; Viridiplantae; Streptophyta; Magnoliopsida; Fabales; Fabaceae
Description: long non-coding RNA (AIPA_LNC001330)
Source: RNAcentral
UUCUUCACAUAAAGCAGCAGCAGCAACAACAACAACAACAAUAGAAAAAGCAAAGAAAAAAAACGGUUCUUCCUCCCUCAUUGAACAGCGUCGACGACGAUGGUGGCAGUGACACCCACCGAUGCCGUUGCCCUCUCCUCCUUCUCCGAUCUCUUGCGCGCUCUCUUCUUUCCAGACCAGCGACAACGACAACGAUGGACUCAAUCAAUGGCGGCGACAGACGUGACGGAGCCGGCAGCAACAGGGCGCGACAGCAGCGAUAGCUCUCCCUUUCUUGGUUUUGGUUCGCAUCUCCUUUUCGGGCUCCCUCAACAACGGCGACGAUGAUGCGAUAGCGGCAGCGAGUCCCCACGUUGCCAGUGCGGUCUCCCUCUUCCUCCUCUUCUCUUCUUCUUCCUCGAGUAGGGGUGUGUGUGUAAUGUCUCUGUGUGUGGGUUUUGGAGGAAAAGGGGGUGGUGGCUGGGUGAAG